This 512-nucleotide ribosomal RNA is filed under the name uncultured Actinomycetes bacterium. Its description in RNAcentral is "bacterial SSU rRNA". It matches the Rfam family "Bacterial small subunit ribosomal RNA", at positions 355 to 859 of the family's 1533-position model. Lineage: Bacteria; Bacillati; Actinomycetota; Actinomycetes. The record is from RNAcentral.
UGGGGAAUCUUGCGCAAUGGGCGAAAGCCUGACGUAGCGACGCCGCGUGCGGGAAGAAGGCCUUCGGGUUGUAAACCGCUUUCAGGAGGGACGAGGCCACUCGGGUUAAUAGCCCAGAGGGUGACGGUACCUCCAGAAGAAGCCCCGGCUAACUACGUGCCAGCAGCCGCGGUAAUACGUAGGGGGCUAGCGUUGUCCGGAUUUAUUGGGCGUAAAGAGCGCGUAGGCGGCCGAGUAAGUCCGACGUGAAAUCUGGAGGCUCAACCUCCAGCGGUCGUUGGAAACUACUCGGCUAGAGUCCGGAAGAGGAGAGUGGAAUUCCUGGUGUAGCGGUGAAAUGCGCAGAUAUCAGGAAGAACACCGAUGGCGAAAGCAGCUCUCUGGGACGGUACUGACGCUGAGGCGCGAAAGCGUGGGGAGCGAACAGGAUUAGAUACCCUGGUAGUCCACGCCGUAAACGAUGGGUGCUAGGUGUGGGCGGUGUCGACUCCGCCCGUGCCGAAGCUAACGCA